AGAGUUUGAUCAUGGCUCAGGACGAACGCUGGCGGCGUGCCUAACACAUGCAAGUCGAACGGAACGCCCUUGAAAGAGUUUUCGGACAAUGGAUAGGGAGGUUUAGUGGCGGACGGGUGAGUAACGCGUGAGCAAUCUGCCUUUCAGAGGGGGGACAACAGUUGGAAACGACUGCUAAUACCGCAUAACGUACCGGUGCGGCAUCGCACUGAUACCAAAGAUUAUAUCGCUGAGA
RNAcentral lists this ribosomal RNA (235 nucleotides) under uncultured bacterium. RNAcentral describes it as "partial 16S ribosomal RNA". It matches the Rfam family "Bacterial small subunit ribosomal RNA", at positions 8 to 223 of the family's 1533-position model. The record is from RNAcentral.